GAAUGAUAGGGAUAUAGGCCUUUCAGGAUGAAAGAGAGCCAAUACCAAGGAAGGGAGACAUAGACUCAUUGCAUAGGAUGGCAAUGGCACAGGGAGUGCAAUUGAAUGGAUGCAAUACCCGUUUCAUGGAUGAUGAUGGAACCGCUCAGGAAAGAGCAAGCUUGGGACUGGAUGACCAAGAGAUAGGGAAGUACAUGAGUACAGGGACCUCAAGGAUUGAGCAAGGAUGAAGCAGGACGCAGAUUGACGCAUGGAUGGUGCAGGGAGCACAAAAAUAGCGGGAUAGCUUAACAGAGAAUAGGAGGGCGUGGCUUUAGGGCCGCGCCCUUUCUUUUUUAU
RNAcentral lists this unclassified non-coding RNA (339 nucleotides) under Shewanella baltica OS195. Lineage: Bacteria; Pseudomonadati; Pseudomonadota; Gammaproteobacteria; Alteromonadales; Shewanellaceae. The record is from RNAcentral.